UUCAGGGUACAGGACUCUCGUAUCAUUCUGUGCUUGAAAAUAUUGAAUGCAAUCUGUUUGGUAAAAAUACAAAAUGUUGCACGAAUUAUUAUUAAUGUCUGGUCUAAUUUGCAGAAUUCGGCAAAAAUGCUAGCAUCAGUAUCUUGAAAUAAUAGUGUACCACUCAUUUUUAUUGACAUUAACUUAUCAACUCAAGUGGUGUUGAUUAGAAUAAACUGAAAAUAAUUGAAUUUUUCACGAAGUCUAUUCUUUUCCUAAAUUUUAGUCACUUAUUAUGUAUAUAGAUAGAAUUUGAU
RNAcentral lists this long non-coding RNA (296 nucleotides) under Mytilus galloprovincialis (Mediterranean mussel). Lineage: Eukaryota; Metazoa; Mollusca; Bivalvia; Mytilida; Mytilidae. The record is from RNAcentral.